UCGAGGAUCUUCGGCAAUGGACGCAAGUCUGACCGAGCGACGCCGCGUGUGCGAUGAAGGCCUUCGGGUUGUAAAGCACUGUCGAGAGGGAACAAGCCGCAAGGUUGAGUGACCUCUGGAGGAAGGACGGGCUAAGUUCGUGCCAGCAGCCGCGGUAAGACGAACCGUCCAAACGUUAUUCGGAAUCACUGGGCUUAAAGGGCGCGUAGGCGGGCGAUCAAGUCAGGGGUGAAAUCCUCCAGCUCAACUGGAGAAGUGCCUUUGAUACUGGUUGUCUAGAGUGAGGUAGGGGCAUGUGGAACUUCCAGUGGAGCGGUGAAAUGCGUAGAUAUUGGAAGGAACACCAGUGGCGAAAGCGAUGUGCUGGAUCUCAACUGACGCUGAGGCGCGAAAGCUAGGG
This 400-nucleotide ribosomal RNA is filed under the name uncultured bacterium. Its description in RNAcentral is "bacterial SSU rRNA". It matches the Rfam family "Bacterial small subunit ribosomal RNA", at positions 355 to 765 of the family's 1533-position model. The record is from RNAcentral.